This is a non-coding RNA of Mesorhizobium sp., 151 nucleotides long. The record is from Rfam. NCBI's taxonomy places the organism in Bacteria, Pseudomonadati, Pseudomonadota, Alphaproteobacteria, Hyphomicrobiales, Phyllobacteriaceae.
UGCCGGUCGUCCAUAGACCGGGGUUACUGAAGAGGCACACCUUCCUUGCCGGCAGUGCGGACAGGGUUUCCCAUCCAAGCCAAGGCAGACAAAGCGGAUCAAGGCCAGGUGCGGCCAUGAUCCAUAACCGCGCGAAGCGUCUUCAUGGUUC